RNAcentral lists this ribosomal RNA (246 nucleotides) under Triticum aestivum (bread wheat). RNAcentral's name for it is "partial small subunit ribosomal RNA". The record is from RNAcentral. Lineage: Eukaryota; Viridiplantae; Streptophyta; Magnoliopsida; Poales; Poaceae.
AUGGCGUCUGCCGGCCGCCGUCCCACGGUGCUCAUGCAGAUCGCUCUCUUCUUCGUCGUCGCGGCGGUCAUCAUGAACAGCUCCGUCUGCCUUGGAGCCGCCGCCGGCGACGCCACUGCAGGCUCUGGUGCUUUCGACCCUAACCGCCCUGCUGUCCCGUCGACGGGUGGUGCUGGUAAACCCUACACCGGCCGUCGGUGCCUCCCUAAGUACCGCUGCUACCCACCGGCUGGUGGCCAACCCUAA